Molecule: transfer RNA, 73 nt
Filed under: Nocardia farcinica
Lineage: Bacteria; Bacillati; Actinomycetota; Actinomycetes; Mycobacteriales; Nocardiaceae
Also listed under: 1 other name
Description: tRNA_Asn_GTT
Rfam family: tRNA
About the family: Transfer RNA (tRNA) molecules are approximately 80 nucleotides in length. Their secondary structure includes four short double-helical elements and three loops (D, anti-codon, and T loops).
Source: RNAcentral
UGACCCGUAGCUCAGUUGGCAGAGCAGCGCCCUGUUAAGGCGCAGUGCGUAGGUUCGAGUCCUACCGGGUCAG